Molecule: ribosomal RNA, 318 nt
Filed under: Triticum aestivum (bread wheat)
Lineage: Eukaryota; Viridiplantae; Streptophyta; Magnoliopsida; Poales; Poaceae
Description: partial small subunit ribosomal RNA
Source: RNAcentral
AUGUCGGCCAUUAGCGGCGGCCAUUCUGCUUCAUCCUGUUCCCGAAGUGGCGCGGUUCGAAGGAGAGGCGUCGGCGGGUCAGCUCGGUCGCCCGUCCCAUCGGGAGCAGCCCAUGGAUUACGAGCCGACGAAGUUCUGCAGCUUGUGAGGGAGGAAGGCUGCACGGUGGAUCUCAUGGAGUCCAGCAAACCCAGGAAGGAGCAUGGGUUCAUCGAAUGGCAUGAGGGGCCGACGACACCAUUUAUCCGUGAUUUGUUGGGAGAUCUUCGGGACAAAGUGUGGAUGAGGCUGCUCUUGCUAUUCAGUCCAAUGAGAUAG